RNAcentral lists this transfer RNA (74 nucleotides) under Clostridioides difficile. RNAcentral describes it as "tRNA-Gly". It matches the Rfam family "tRNA". From Rfam's summary of the family: Transfer RNA (tRNA) molecules are approximately 80 nucleotides in length. Their secondary structure includes four short double-helical elements and three loops (D, anti-codon, and T loops). Further hydrogen bonds mediate the characteristic L-shaped molecular structure. tRNAs have two regions of fundamental functional importance: the anti-codon, which is responsible for specific mRNA codon recognition, and the 3' end, to which the tRNAs corresponding amino acid is attached (by aminoacyl-tRNA synthetases). tRNAs cope with the degeneracy of the genetic code in two manners: having more than one tRNA (with a specific anti-codon) for a particular amino acid; and 'wobble' base-pairing, i.e. permitting non-standard base-pairing at the 3rd anti-codon position. The record is from RNAcentral. Lineage: Bacteria; Bacillati; Bacillota; Clostridia; Peptostreptococcales; Peptostreptococcaceae.
GCGGGUGUAGCUCAAUGGUAGAGUUCUGGCCUUCCAAGUCAGCUGUGAGGGUUCGAUCCCCUUCACCCGCUCCA